GGUGGGAUGGCAGAGUGGCCGAAUGCGGCGGUUUUGAAAACCGCUGUGCCUUCACGGGCACCGGGGGUUCGAAUCCCUCUCCCACCGCCA
RNAcentral lists this transfer RNA (90 nucleotides) under Planctomycetota bacterium. RNAcentral's name for it is "tRNA-Ser". It matches the Rfam family "tRNA". Rfam says of the family: Transfer RNA (tRNA) molecules are approximately 80 nucleotides in length. Their secondary structure includes four short double-helical elements and three loops (D, anti-codon, and T loops). Lineage: Bacteria; Pseudomonadati; Planctomycetota. The record is from RNAcentral.